AGACGCGAGGAGCUACCGACUGGCUGCAGCACCUCAUUUACACGGAUGUUGAGGAUGCUGAAGAUGCUGCGUUAUAACUCACAGCUCCAUCUAAGCGAACGGAGUCCAGAGAUGGGUGACUCCUCAUCCUCAAUAUUUCCCUCCACUCGAGCAGAAACAGCAAUAAGCAUGAAGAGGGGUUGGUUUCUGUCUUUGGUUAUCUAGCUGUAUGAGUAUAAAACAUGUCAUAAAGCUAGAUAACCGAAAGUAGAAAUUAAUCUCUAACUCACAACCAUCUUGUGUGAAUCUCCCAAACCAUGUGACCUAUGGACAUGUUUAACAGAGCUCUGUUCCAGUCUACAACAUGCCAUAAUAAAGUACAGUGUCAUGAACUUAGGCUGCAUGCUGUACAGAAGAGGUGACAGAUACAUGGAUGCUAGGAGGAAAACACCUUUGUUCCUGAUUGCCAUAUUUCUCAUCAUGCCGAGAGAUCUCCGGUGCCAUCUGGGUAUAUGGGGCACUAUGCCCGUGCCACCGGCGAUAAAGCCCCAUUAUCUCCCUGGAGCCUUGGCACGAUGAACGAGGAAGGCAGGGAGGCCAUCUUGAGGGAGAUCUCACUGAAACAGCUAAGAUGGCUGGACUGGCAUACGAGAGCACUCUUGGUGUGUUAACUGCAGCAGAGGACACUGAAAACCAUGAUGGAAUAUGGACCCUUUUCUCUUCAAGAAUAGAAUUAUAAUAUUUGUAAAUGUGAUUUUUAUGUCAUAUUGACAGUCAACUUCAUAUAUUAACACAAUCUGUAUUUGAGUAGGAGCUUUUGGUUUAUUGUUUUACUUUGAGAUUGCAUCCUGUUUAUUAGACUGUUAUUUCUUUGUUCAGCAGAAAGUAAAACCUUAUACAAUGUGUAUAUUGUUGAGUUUUACAUAAAAGUUAUGAAUAAAAGCUAUUUCAGAAACCACUGUCAAC
Molecule: long non-coding RNA, 945 nt
Organism: Tachysurus fulvidraco (yellow catfish)
Lineage: Eukaryota; Metazoa; Chordata; Actinopteri; Siluriformes; Bagridae
Exons: 4
Source: RefSeq, a predicted model, not a curated record